RNAcentral lists this long non-coding RNA (982 nucleotides) under Lactuca sativa (garden lettuce). RNAcentral describes it as "long non-coding RNA (LSAT_LNC008352)". The record is from RNAcentral. Lineage: Eukaryota; Viridiplantae; Streptophyta; Magnoliopsida; Asterales; Asteraceae.
GAAAGCGAGUAUCAACAUUUUUAUAAUGCUGGUGAGUUCAUAAGUAUUUAAUGACAUUAGUAUGAAUACACAUUUUUAUUCAAAAUAACCUCAUGAAAGAUGGAAGUUUAGAAUCUAUAGAGUAUUAGAGUUCUUUCUAGAAAAUCCUAUAUUUUCUAAAUAAGAGUAGUCUUCUACCAAGACCCAAUUGUGUUAUGUUUAAGGAGUAAUUUCCCCAAUAGUACUAUCAUUAUCAAAAUAUAGUUUUUACUUUAACGGAGUUGUGAGAAAAGCCUCAAGUAAAAAUAGUAGGGAAAAAUAAUAUUUUACCUCAGCAGAAACACUGCUGGCUAAAAGUAAGUAAAACCUAGACUCCAGGCAGGACGCCUCGCAAAGCUCAAAGAUAAAUAAAUCAUAGACUUCAAGCGGAACGCCUUACAAAGUCUAAAAAUAAGUAAAUCAUAGACUCCAGGAGAGUAUUGAAUGGACAAUACACCUGGCUCAGUCUAAAACAAGGAAGCACAAACUCCAGACAGUAUCGAAUGAACGAUACAGCUAGCAAAGUCUAAAACAAGGAAACACAGACUCCAGACAGUAUCGGAUGAACGACACAGCUAGCAAAGUCUAAAACAAGGAAACACAGACUCCAGACAGUAUCGGAUGAACGACACAGCUAGCAAAGUCUAAAACAAGGAAACACAGACUCCAGACGGUAUCGGAUGAAUGAUACAGCUAGUAAAGUCUAAAACAAGAGGUGAAUGUGAACUCGUAUGUAACCAUGCUGAUUCAAGAUCGAAUCCUUGAUGACCCUCCAUGUCACGCGUAGAGUUAGUGACAUUAUGUCACCCAUGGGCCUUACCGGCGCGGACUGUAGCUAGUAGUCAGGGUGUGGGAGUGUCUGUCCCGUAUAGAUCUUUACACAUGAUGUUCGCUCUCCCUCCAGGAGACUCUGGUUACAUGGCGAUGGCGCUAUGAAGUGUUGUAUCGGGAAAUAGUGUGUCAC